UGGGGAAUAUUGGGCAAUGGGCGCAAGCCUGACCCAGCAACGCCGCGUGAAGGAAGAAGGCUUUCGGGUUGUAAACUUCUUUUAUUCGGGACGAAAUAAAUGACGGUACCGAAUGAAUAAGCCACGGCUAACUACGUGCCAGCAGCCGCGGUAAUACGUAGGUGGCAAGCGUUAUCCGGAUUUACUGGGUGUAAAGGGCGUGUAGGCGGGAUAGCAAGUCAGAUGUGAAAACUAUGGGCUCAACCCAUAGCCUGCAUUUGAAACUGUUGUUCUUGAGUGAUGGAGAGGCAGGCGGAAUUCCGUGUGUAGCGGUGAAAUGCGUAGAUAUACGGAGGAACACCAGUGGCGAAGGCGGCCUGCUGGACAUUAACUGACGCUGAGGCGCGAAAGCGUGGGGAGCAAACAGG
This 407-nucleotide ribosomal RNA is filed under the name uncultured prokaryote. Its description in RNAcentral is "bacterial SSU rRNA". It matches the Rfam family "Bacterial small subunit ribosomal RNA", at positions 355 to 776 of the family's 1533-position model. The record is from RNAcentral. RNAcentral also lists the same sequence under 1 other name.